RNAcentral lists this ribosomal RNA (445 nucleotides) under uncultured bacterium. RNAcentral's name for it is "partial 16S ribosomal RNA". It matches the Rfam family "Bacterial small subunit ribosomal RNA", at positions 354 to 796 of the family's 1533-position model. The record is from RNAcentral.
GUAAGGAAUAUUGGUCAAUGGACGAAAGUCUGAACCAGCCAUGCCGCGUGGAGGAUGAAGGUCCUCUGGAUUGUAAACUUCUUUUAUAUGGGACGAAAAUGGGGCUUUCUAGCUCAACUGACGGUACCAUAUGAAUAAGCACCGGCUAACUCCGUGCCAGCAGCCACGGUAAUACGGAGGGUGCAAGCGUUAUCCGGAUUCACUGGGUUUAAAGGGUGCGUAGGUGGAUUGGUAAGUCAGAGGUGAAAUCUCCGGGCUCAACUCGGAAACUUGCUUUGAUACUAUCAAUCUUGAAUAUUGUGGAGGUUAGCGGAAUAUGUCAUGUAGCGGUGAAAUGCUUAGAUAUGACAUAGAACACCAAUUGCGAAGGCAGCUGGCUACACAUAUAUUGACACUGAGGCACGAAAGCGUGGGGAUCAAACAGGAUUAGAUACCCUAGUAGUCC